ACCACCAACAAGGAAUACUGAGUGCAAGUCUUCCAAAAAAAAAUAUGCCCAGUGUUCGCAGCGGUCAAUAGCGGUACCGUUGGUCUUGACAGUAUAUGUUGUUUCCUUCCAAAUUGAUUGAAACUGAGAUGUUGCUGGGCCCGUAUCUUGAUGGAAUAUAAAACAAACUCGUCAUAACAAUAUAAUAUAGAUAUAUACAUAUAUACGCAUGGCUUCAUGUUGAGGACGAUCUCAUUGCGUCAUAUAAAAAAAGAAAAUUGAGAAAUAAAUACAAAAGUACCAGAUAGAAAACAAGAAGAAUAUGAGCGUCAGGGUACGGACAUAUAUCUACAAUAUGCCCUGAAGCCAUACAAUACAUGGCAUCCUCCAUCUCACUUUCUCCCCCUGAUGAUAGUAAAAUAACAAGACAUACGCGACAUCAUGGUCACUUUUGGGCGGCGGCUUU
Molecule: small RNA, 445 nt
Filed under: Histoplasma capsulatum var. duboisii H88
Lineage: Eukaryota; Fungi; Ascomycota; Eurotiomycetes; Onygenales; Ajellomycetaceae
Description: Histoplasma capsulatum H88 hypothetical RNA
Source: RNAcentral